AACGCAUCUUGCGCCCUUUGGUAUUCCGAAGGGCAUGCCUGUUUGAGUGUCAUGAAUCUCUCAAACUCGAAAAGUUUUAUUACUUGAGAGUUUGGAUUUGGGGGUUUGCUGGCGUAACGUUAGCUCCCCUUAAAUGUAUUAGCUUGGGUCUUGUAUGUUGGAUCCUUGGUGUGAUAAUUAUCUACGCCAUGAUGUCCCUUUGAGCCCUGCUUCUAACCGUCUCCUUUGUUGAGACAAUUUACUUUGACAUCUGGCCUCAAAUCAGGUAGGACUACCCGCUGAACUUAA
Molecule: unclassified non-coding RNA, 288 nt
Filed under: uncultured Corticiales
Lineage: Eukaryota; Fungi; Basidiomycota; Agaricomycetes
Description: sequence contains 5.8S rRNA gene, ITS2, 28S rRNA gene
Rfam family: 5.8S ribosomal RNA (bases 1-52)
Source: RNAcentral